RNAcentral lists this ribosomal RNA (440 nucleotides) under uncultured bacterium. RNAcentral describes it as "partial 16S ribosomal RNA". It matches the Rfam family "Bacterial small subunit ribosomal RNA", at positions 338 to 795 of the family's 1533-position model. The record is from RNAcentral.
CCUACGGGUGGCAGCAGUGGGGAAUAUUGCACAAUGGGGGAAACCCUGAUGCAGCGACGCCGCGUGAGUGAAGAAGUAUUUCGGUAUGUAAAGCUCUAUCAGCAGGGAAGAAAAUGACGGUACCCAACGAGGAAGCACCGGCUAACUCCGUGCCAGCAGCCGCGGUAAUACGGAGGGUGCAAGCGUUGUCCGGAAUCAUUGGGCGUAAAGAGCUCGUAGGCGGGAUGUAAAGUCAGAUGUUAAAGGCGAAGGCUCAACCUGUGUAUGGCACUUGAUACUUUCAAGCUGGAAUGCGGUAGAGGUAAAGGGAAUUCCUGGUGUAGCGGUGAAAUGCGUAGAUAUCAGGAGGAACAUCGGUUGCGUAAGCGCUUUACUGGGCCUUAAUUGACGCUGAGGAACGAAAGCCAGGGUAGCAAAUGGGAUUAGAUACCCGAGUAGUC